UUGAUCCUGGCUCAGGACGAACGCUGGCGGCGUGCCUAAUACAUGCAAGUAGAACGCUGAAGGAGGAGCUUGCUUCUCUGGAUGAGUUGCGAACGGGUGAGUAACGCGUAGGUAACCUGCCUGGUAGCGGGGGAUAACUAUUGGAAACGAUAGCUAAUACCGCAUAAGAGUAGAUGUUGCAUGACAUUUGCUUAAAAGGUGCAAUUGCAUCACUACCAGAUGGACCUGCGUUGUAUUAGCUAGUUGGUGAGGUAACGGCUCACCAAGGCAACGAUACAUAGCCGACCUGAGAGGGUGAUCGGCCACACUGGGACUGAGACACGGCCCAGACUCCUACGGGAGGCAGCAGUAGGGAAUCUUCGGCAAUGGACGGAAGUCUGACCGAGCAACGCCGCGUGAGUGAAGAAGGUUUUCGGAUCGUAAAGCUCUGUUGUAAGAGAAGAACGAGUGUGAGAGUGGAAAGUUCACACUGUGACGGUAUCUUACCAGAAAGGGACGGCUAACUACGUGCCAGCAGCCGCGGUAAUACGUAGGUCCCGAGCGUUGUCCGGAUUUAUUGGGCGUAAAGCGAGCGCAGGCGGUUAGAUAAGUCUGAAGUUAAAGGCUGUGGCUUAACCAUAGUACGCUUUGGAAACUGUUUAACUUGAGUGCAAGAGGGGAGAGUGGAAUUCCAUGUGUAGCGGUGAAAUGCGUAGAUAUAUGGAGGAACACCGGUGGCGAAAGCGGCUCUCUGGCUUGUAACUGACGCUGAGGCUCGAAAGCGUGGGGAGCAAA
This 774-nucleotide ribosomal RNA is filed under the name uncultured Streptococcaceae bacterium. Its description in RNAcentral is "bacterial SSU rRNA". It matches the Rfam family "Bacterial small subunit ribosomal RNA", at positions 13 to 772 of the family's 1533-position model. Lineage: Bacteria; Bacillati; Bacillota; Bacilli; Lactobacillales; Streptococcaceae. The record is from RNAcentral.